This 509-nucleotide ribosomal RNA is filed under the name uncultured bacterium. Its description in RNAcentral is "partial 16S ribosomal RNA". It matches the Rfam family "Bacterial small subunit ribosomal RNA", at positions 29 to 507 of the family's 1533-position model. The record is from RNAcentral.
ACGAACGCUGGCGGCGUGCUUAACACAUGCAAGUCGAACGAAGAGCGAUGGAAGCUUGCUUCCAUCAAUCUUAGUGGCGAACGGGUGAGUAACGCGUAAUCAACCUGCCCUUCAGAGGGGGACAACAGUUGGAAACGACUGCUAAUACCGCAUACGAUCUAAUCUCGGCAUCGAGGAUAGAUGAAAGGUGGCCUCUACAUGUAAGCUAUCACUGAAGGAGGGGAUUGCGUCUGAUUAGCUAGUUGGAGGGGUAACGGCCCACCAAGGCGAUGAUCAGUAGCCGGUCUGAGAGGAUGAACGGCCACAUUGGGACUGAGACACGGCCCAGACUCCUACGGGAGGCAGCAGUGGGGAAUCUUCCGCAAUGGACGAAAGUCUGACGGAGCAACGCCGCGUGAGUGAUGACGGCCUUCGGGUUGUAAAGCUCUGUUAAUCGGGACGAAAGGCCUUCUUGCGAAUAGUGAGAAGGAUUGACGGUACCGGAAUAGAAAGCCACGGCUAACUACGUG